AAGAAACUUCAUUUCCCAUGAUGCUUUGCAUAGGGAAGCAAGGUGAUGACGUCACCACAACAACCAGCUCAAAAACUAUAAGUUUCAGCGAAAAACGAAACUUAACUUUCUUAUGCCCAGUUCACUGGCUGUAAAGGACGCUCAUUGCUGCUGCUCUGAUCAACGUCAGCCAGCAGGAGGCUGGCUGCUGGAGCAGAUCGUACACAGAACCGCUGAAAGCAGGACUUGGAAACCCAAAAAGCAACUCCAGCUCCAUCAAGCACGCUACCCCCCCUACCUCCAUUGGGUUGACUGUGAUUGUCAGAGCUGAGUCAUCCCAGUUCACAUCAGCCACUUUAGUCGUCUCUGCCAGCCUCAUAUCCUGUUGAUGGGUCACAUGGAUGCGGUAUAUGCCCAGCACCACCACCACCACAAGGGCGGCGAUACACACAACGAUCACCACAGUGGCAGCACUCGGUACACCUGUGAACAUGUGGGAGGCAGAAGAUAGGAGCUGCACAGAGCAGAAACACGGGACCUCUAGAAACAUCUGGCCUUCACCUACCAGAGAUGUGUGAAAUUCUGAAACAUGUAACAGCCCCU
Nothobranchius furzeri (turquoise killifish) is the source of this 582-nucleotide non-coding RNA. The record is from RefSeq and is a predicted model, not a curated record. NCBI's taxonomy places the organism in Eukaryota, Metazoa, Chordata, Actinopteri, Cyprinodontiformes, Nothobranchiidae.